UACAGAGGUCCCAAGCGUUGUUCGGAUUCACUGGGCGUAAAGGGUGCGUAGGCGGUUGGAUAAGUCUGAUGUGAAAUCUUCGAGCUCAACUCGGAAACUGCAUCGGAAACUAUCUAGCUAGAGGAUUGGAGGGGAGACUGGAAUUCUCGGUGUAGCAGUGAAAUGCGUAGAUAUCGAGAGGAACACCAGUGGCGAAGGCGAGUCUCUGGACAAUUCCUGACGCUGAGGCACGAAAGCUAGGGGAGCAAACAGG
RNAcentral lists this ribosomal RNA (253 nucleotides) under uncultured bacterium. Its description in RNAcentral is "partial 16S ribosomal RNA". It matches the Rfam family "Bacterial small subunit ribosomal RNA", at positions 524 to 776 of the family's 1533-position model. The record is from RNAcentral.